Long non-coding RNA from Micropterus dolomieu (smallmouth bass), 856 nucleotides. RefSeq lists it as uncharacterized. Lineage: Eukaryota; Metazoa; Chordata; Actinopteri; Centrarchiformes; Centrarchidae. The transcript has 4 exons. The record is from RefSeq and is a predicted model, not a curated record.
AUCCACGUUCUAAUAUAGCUGAUCAACAUGACAGAAAGUUUUCCCUGAUUUAGUAGACAAUUUACAAAAGCAAACACUAUCACAUCGCUGGUAACAUGAUGAAAACGCUUUCUUGUCAUGGACAAUAGGUGAACACACAGUUCCAGUGGCUUCACAAUGGCAGUAUUACAAGGUCAGCUCUGAGGUUUCGCCUGGCUCAGCAAAGACCUGCAGAGCUGUGGGGCAUGCUGCUCAGCUGACAGGGCUCUUUGCUUGUUCAUGGUGCUCUUUCUCGAAGGGGCCCCAGUGACAGAGCCAUUCACAAGCACGGGCCAUAAAUGACCGAGUUCAACACCACAUUAAGCACUGCAUUCUCAAAAUCAGUAGGCUACUGACUCUGGAGCACAGCCAAAAUGCCAGGAACAAAAGGUAAUAAGUCGGACAAGAAGUCAGCUACCAAGCAACCUCAGAGUCCUAAAGAGCAGCCGAAGAAAGGUGAUCAGAAAGGAGACGAUAACAAGAAGCAAGGAGGACAGCCGAAGGGAGAGAAGCAAUAACUUCCAGGCAUUUGUGAAGAUGGCUUUGGAGACACUGCUGGGGUCCUGCCGUCGUAAAAAUGGCAGCCCCCGGAGCAAGCAGGGCUGAGUGCGCCACACUUUUCCCGUGAGCCUGCAGACUGGGCUGUUGUGCGGUCUUUCAAUACAGCAUCUGCUCACCUCUCACAGAGGUAGAAAGUGAACCUGAUCUCCAUCCAUCACCAUCUGUUGUUCAACCUCUGUUCCUCCCCCUUCUGUCCCCUUCCCCACGCUAUCUUCUGGCUUAUUGGAUGCUCAGAAACAGACUCCAGGUUAAACCGGACAAUUGCUCUGACUCACCC